GAUGAACGCUGGCGGUAUGCUUAACACAUGCAAGUCGAACGGACUCUUCGGAGUUAGUGGCGGACGGGUGAGUAACGCGUGAGAAUCUGGCUUUGGGUUCGGGACAACCGCUGGAAACGGUGGCUAAUACCGGAUGUGCCGAGAGGUAAAAGAGAAAUUGCCUGAAGAUGAGCUCGCGUCUGAUUAGCUAGUUGGUGAGGUAAAGGCUCACCAAGGCAGCGAUCAGUAGCUGGUCUGAGAGGAUGACCAGCCACACUGGGACUGAGACACGGCCCAGACUACUACGGGAGGCAGCAGUGAAGAAUUUUCCGCAAUGGGCGAAAGCCUGACGGAGCAAUACCGCGUGAGGGAAGAAGGCUCUUGGGUUGUAAACCUCUUUUCUUAGGGAAGAACAAAAUGACGGUACCUAAGGAAUCAGCAUCGGCUAACUCCGUG
This 435-nucleotide ribosomal RNA is filed under the name uncultured bacterium. RNAcentral describes it as "partial 16S ribosomal RNA". It matches the Rfam family "Bacterial small subunit ribosomal RNA", at positions 28 to 507 of the family's 1533-position model. The record is from RNAcentral.